Molecule: ribosomal RNA, 497 nt
Filed under: uncultured bacterium
Lineage: Bacteria
Description: partial 16S ribosomal RNA
Rfam family: Bacterial small subunit ribosomal RNA
Source: RNAcentral
GAUGAACGCUGGCGGCGUGCCUAAUACAUGCAAGUCGAGCGAACAGAUGAGGAGAUUGCUCCUCUGACGUUAGCGGCGGACGGGUGAGUAAAACGUGGAUAACCUACCUAUAAGACUGGGAUAACUUCGGGAAACCGGAGCUAAUACUGGAUAAUAUAUUGAACCGCAUGGUGCAAUAGUGAAAGACGGUUUUGCUGUCACUUAUAGAUGGAUCCGCGCCGCAUUAGCUAGUUGGUAAGGUAACGGCUUACCAAGGCAACGAUGCGUAGCCGACCUGAGAGGGUGAUCGGCCACACUGGAACUGAGCCACGGUCCAGACUCCUACGGGAGGCAGCAGUAGGGAAUCUUCCGCAAUGGGCGAAAGCCUGACGGAGCAACGCCGCGUGAGUGAUGAAGGUCUUCGGAUCGUAAAACUCUUUUAUUAGGGAAGAACAGAUGUGGAAGUAACUAUGCACGUCUUGACGGUACCUAAUCAGAAAGCCACGGCUAACUACGUG